Amblyraja radiata (thorny skate) is the source of this 957-nucleotide long non-coding RNA. RefSeq lists it as uncharacterized. The transcript has 2 exons. The record is from RefSeq and is a predicted model, not a curated record. NCBI's taxonomy places the organism in Eukaryota, Metazoa, Chordata, Chondrichthyes, Rajiformes, Rajidae.
CGUGAAUCUUUGAAACUAUUCUUCAAAGGGCAGUAGAAGCAAAAACUGAAUAUUUACAAGGCAGAGGUUGAUAGCUUCUUGUUAUAUAUUCACAAAACAAGAUCGAUUGAUGACUGAAUGGAGUGGGAGUUUAUGAACGAUGAGGAAAGCCAGUAGAAGAACUAUCAAUGGCCCUCCACCCUAGAUACCUGAAGGCAACGUCCAUAGCAUGUCAGCAAAAGCUGAUGAAGAGAAUGAGUGAGCCAUUCAAAUGUUAUAACUGAUUUUGUUCCAAUGAUUUUCUGUGACUUGUGGCACAUUAAAAAUUAUUAGGCAGAGCUUUAUCCAAAAAUUGAUGGCUCGUCCCUUACAGAGUAACAUUUUAUGGUCUUAAUAUUUGCCUAAAAAUAUACUUGAUUUGAAACCUGACCCUAUCUGGAAAAUAUAGACGUGAGGUUCCAAUGGAUUUACAGAAGCAUCACACUCAACAAAAGAAAGUUGACAAGACUUCAGAUCUCAGUGUGUAGUUAUGCUGACAACUCUCCAAAUGUCUCCAUUCAUUUUUGCAGCUUGAUACAUCUUGGUGUCAGUAGAAAGGGAAUCUAACAUUCUGUUCAUUUAACAUUCAAAGUUACUCCGCAGUUGAUUUAUAUGACAGUUUAAUUUCUAGCCAGUUCAGUUUAGUUUAGAUAUUAUCUGAGUAAAAUGUUAAUAUACAUUUUCACACAUAUUAACUUCGGGUACCGAGGUAUGUUCGGUCCAUUGAAAAAAUACGAUUAAUGCAAUUGACUAAUUUCCACCUUCUUGGUCUAUGCCCCAUCAUACGCCAAGUAAAACCAUGUUAGGACUAACACUUGGAACUCACUUGCCAGUUCAUAGGCAAGUUCAUUUAAUGUUCUCGAAUACAAUGCAAGAAUCAAUAAGAGUAAUUAGCAAUCUACCAAACUGUAAAAUAAAAUAAAUCUCCCUUUUUGGCUA